UACGUAGGGUGCGAGCGUUAAUCGGAAUUACUGGGCGUAAAGCGUGCGCAGGCGGUCUUAUAAGUCAGAUGUGAAAUCCCCGAGCUCAACUUGGGAACUGCGUUUGAAACUGUAAGACUAGAGUGUGUCAGAGGGAGGUAGAAUUCCACGUGUAGCAGUGAAAUGCGUAGAGAUGUGGAGGAAUACCAAUGGCGAAGGCAGCCUCCUGGGAUAACACUGACGCUCAUGCACGAAAGCGUGGGGAGCAAACAGG
Molecule: ribosomal RNA, 253 nt
Filed under: uncultured bacterium
Lineage: Bacteria
Also listed under: 1 other name
Description: partial 16S ribosomal RNA
Rfam family: Bacterial small subunit ribosomal RNA
Source: RNAcentral